RNAcentral lists this ribosomal RNA (710 nucleotides) under uncultured bacterium. RNAcentral's name for it is "bacterial SSU rRNA". It matches the Rfam family "Bacterial small subunit ribosomal RNA", at positions 94 to 823 of the family's 1533-position model. The record is from RNAcentral.
AGCGGCGGACGGGUGAGUAACGCGUGGGUAACCUGCCCUAUACACACGGAUAACAUACCGAAAGGUAUGCUAAUACGAGAUAAUAUAAGAGAUUCACAUGGAUUUCUUAUCAAAGCUGAGGCGGUAUAGGAUGGACCCGCGUCUGAUUAGCUAGUUGGUAAGGUAACGGCUUACCAAGGCGACGAUCAGUAGCCGACCUGAGAGGGUGAUCGGCCACAUUGGAACUGAGACACGGUCCAAACUCCUACGGGAGGCAGCAGUGGGGAAUAUUGCACAAUGGGCGAAAGCCUGAUGCAGCAACGCCGCGUGAGUGAUGAAGGCCUUCGGGUCGUAAAACUCUGUCCUCAAGGAAGAUAAUGACGGUACUUGAGGAGGAAGCCCCGGCUAACUACGUGCCAGCAGCCGCGGUAAUACGUAGGGGGCUAGCGUUAUCCGGAUUUACUGGGCGUAAAGGGUGCGUAGGUGGUUUCUUAAGUCAGGAGUGAAAGGCUACGGCUCAACCGUAGUAAGCUCUUGAAACUGGGAAACUUGAGUGCAGGAGAGGAAAGUGGAAUUCCUAGUGUAGCGGUGAAAUGCGUAGAUAUUAGGAGGAACACCAGUAGCGAAGGCGGCUUUCUGGACUGUAACUGACACUGAGGCACGAAAGCGUGGGGAGCAAACAGGAUUAGAUACCCUGGUAGUCCACGCCGUAAACGAUGAGUACUAGGUGU